AUCCAUCUGACGAGUCCCAAAUAGGACAAAACGCGUGUCCUGGAU
This 45-nucleotide non-coding RNA is filed under the name Schistosoma mansoni. The record is from RNAcentral. Lineage: Eukaryota; Metazoa; Platyhelminthes; Trematoda; Strigeidida; Schistosomatidae.